RNAcentral lists this ribosomal RNA (156 nucleotides) under Begonia formosana x Begonia aptera. Its description in RNAcentral is "5.8S ribosomal RNA". It matches the Rfam family "5.8S ribosomal RNA". From Rfam's summary of the family: 5.8S ribosomal RNA (5.8S rRNA) is a component of the large subunit of the eukaryotic ribosome. Lineage: Eukaryota; Viridiplantae; Streptophyta; Magnoliopsida; Cucurbitales; Begoniaceae. The record is from RNAcentral.
CUCGACAACGGAUAUCUUGGCUCUUGCAUCGAUGAAGAACGUAGUGAAAUGCAAUACUUGUUGUGAACUGCAGAAUCCCUUGAACCAUCGAGUUUUCGAACGCAAGUUGUACCCGAAGCCUUCUGGCCAAGGGGCACGUCUUCCUUGGGCAUCACG